Molecule: transfer RNA, 72 nt
Filed under: Camelus bactrianus (Bactrian camel)
Lineage: Eukaryota; Metazoa; Chordata; Mammalia; Artiodactyla; Camelidae
Also listed under: 2 other names
Rfam family: tRNA
About the family: Transfer RNA (tRNA) molecules are approximately 80 nucleotides in length. Their secondary structure includes four short double-helical elements and three loops (D, anti-codon, and T loops). Further hydrogen bonds mediate the characteristic L-shaped molecular structure. tRNAs have two regions of fundamental functional importance: the anti-codon, which is responsible for specific mRNA codon recognition, and the 3' end, to which the tRNAs corresponding amino acid is attached (by aminoacyl-tRNA synthetases). tRNAs cope with the degeneracy of the genetic code in two manners: having more than one tRNA (with a specific anti-codon) for a particular amino acid; and 'wobble' base-pairing, i.e. permitting non-standard base-pairing at the 3rd anti-codon position.
Source: Rfam by way of RNAcentral
GAGGAUAUAGCUCAGUGGUAGAGUGCAUGCCUAGCAUGCAUGAGAUCCAGGGUUCAGUCCCCAGUACCUCCA